RNAcentral lists this ribosomal RNA (995 nucleotides) under uncultured bacterium. RNAcentral's name for it is "bacterial SSU rRNA". It matches the Rfam family "Bacterial small subunit ribosomal RNA", at positions 28 to 1017 of the family's 1533-position model. The record is from RNAcentral.
AUUGAACGCUGGCGGCAGGCUUAACACAUGCAAGUCGAGCGGGGAUUGGGUGCUUGCACCUAAUCUUAGCGGCGGACGGGUGAGUAAUGCUUAGGAAUCUGCCAUUUAGUGGGGGACAACAUUCCGAAAGGGAUGCUAAUACCGCAUACGCCCUACGGGGGAAAGCAGGGGAUCUUCGGACCUUGCGCUAAAUGAUGAGCCUAAGUCGGAUUAGCUAGUUGGUGGGGUAAAGGCCUACCAAGGCGACGAUCUGUAGCGGGUCUGAGAGGAUGAUCCGCCACACUGGGACUGAGACACGGCCCAGACUCCUACGGGAGGCAGCAGUGGGGAAUAUUGGACAAUGGGCGGAAGCCUGAUCCAGCCAUGCCGCGUGUGUGAAGAAGGCCUUUUGGUUGUAAAGCACUUUAAGCGAGGAGGAGGCUACCUGGAUUAAUACUCUAGGAUAGUGGACGUUACUCGCAGAAUAAGCACCGGCUAACUCUGUGCCAGCAGCCGCGGUAAUACAGAGGGUGCGAGCGUUAAUCGGAUUUACUGGGCGUAAAGCGUGCGUAGGCGGCUGAUUAAGUCGGAUGUGAAAUCCCUGAGCUUAACUUAGGAAUUGCAUUCGAUACUGGUCAGCUAGAGUAUGGGAGAGGAUGGUAGAAUUCCAGGUGUAGCGGUGAAAUGCGUAGAGAUCUGGAGGAAUACCGAUGGCGAAGGCAGCCAUCUGGCCUAAUACUGACGCUGAGGUACGAAAGCAUGGGGAGCAAACAGGAUUAGAUACCCUGGUAGUCCAUGCCGUAAACGAUGUCUACUAGCCGUUGGGGCCUUUGAGGCUUUAGUGGCGCAGCUAACGCGAUAAGUAGACCGCCUGGGGAGUACGGUCGCAAGACUAAAACUCAAAUGAAUUGACGGGGGCCCGCACAAGCGGUGGAGCAUGUGGUUUAAUUCGAUGCAACGCGAAGAACCUUACCUGGUCUUGACAUAGUAAGAACUUUCCAGAGAUGGAUUGGUGC